This 440-nucleotide ribosomal RNA is filed under the name uncultured bacterium. RNAcentral's name for it is "partial 16S ribosomal RNA". It matches the Rfam family "Bacterial small subunit ribosomal RNA", at positions 338 to 795 of the family's 1533-position model. The record is from RNAcentral.
CCUACGGGAGGCAGCAGUGGGGAAUAUUGCACAAUGGGGGAAACCCUGAUGCAGCGACGCCGCGUGAGCGAUGAAGUAUUUCGGUAUGUAAAGCUCUAUCAGCAGGGAAGAAAAUGACGGUACCUGACUAAGAAGCCCCGGCUAACUACGUGCCAGCAGCCGCGGUAAUACGUAGGGGGCAAGCGUUAUCCGGAUUUACUGGGUGGAAAGGGAGCGUAGACGGUCCUGCAAGCCAGAUGUGAAAGCCCGGGGCUCAACCCCGGGACUGCAUUUGGAACUGUAAGGCUAGAGUGUCGGAGAGGCAGGCGGAAUUCCUAGUGUAGCGGUGAAAUGCGUAGAUAUUAGGAGGAACACCAGUGGCGAAGACGGCCUGCUGGACGAUGACUGACGUUGAGGCUCGAAAGCGUGGGGAGCAAACAGGAUUAGAUACCCUUGUAGUC